Molecule: non-coding RNA, 72 nt
Organism: Colletotrichum spaethianum
Lineage: Eukaryota; Fungi; Ascomycota; Sordariomycetes; Glomerellales; Glomerellaceae
Source: the annotation of a RefSeq genome assembly
GCAAUCGUAGUGUAGCGGUUAUCAUCCCAGCCUUCCAAGCUGGGGACUCGGGUUCGACUCCCGGCGAUUGCA